This 414-nucleotide ribosomal RNA is filed under the name Triticum aestivum (bread wheat). RNAcentral's name for it is "partial small subunit ribosomal RNA". The record is from RNAcentral. Lineage: Eukaryota; Viridiplantae; Streptophyta; Magnoliopsida; Poales; Poaceae.
AUGUCACUAGGUACAUUUUCAAGAAAGAUCACCAAAGAAUUUCACGUCACCCCUAAUAGAUGGAAGCUAGCUAGGGCAAGAACUGGAGCACUUAAGGAGAUCCAUGGUGAUGAAGAAGAGCAAUUCAGUAGGCUUUGGGACUAUGGUCAUGAAUUGAGGAAUACCAAUCCUGGGUCUACAUUUCUUCUAUCAACUGAGCUUGUCAAAGACAAAGAUUUCCCACUGGGCAGGAAAUGUCUGAAAACUCUAUAUUGGUCUUAUGAUGCAUGUAAAAGGGGGUGGCUCAAGGGAUGCAGGCCUAUUAUUUUCAUUGAUGGUUGUCACAUGAAAAAUAGGUUUAAAGGAGUGUUGCUUAGUGCAAUAGGUAUUGAUCCUAAUGACUACAUUUUCCCCAUUGCAAUGGUUUGGGUAUAA